ACGCGCUGGCGGCGUGCCUAACACAUGCAAGUCGAGCGGAGAAUGCAGAAAUGUUUACAUGGAAGCGUUCUUAGCGGCGGACGGGUGAGUAACACGUGGGUAACCUGCCUCAAAGUGGGGGAUAGCCUUCCGAAAGGAAGAUUAAUACCGCAUAAGCCUACAGUGCCGCAUGGCACAGCAGGAAAAGGAGCAAUCCGCUUUGAGAUGGACCCGCGGCGCAUUACCUAGUUGGUGAGUAAAGCGCUCAGCG
Molecule: ribosomal RNA, 250 nt
Filed under: Clostridium sp. 'PS-1'
Lineage: Bacteria; Bacillati; Bacillota; Clostridia; Eubacteriales; Clostridiaceae
Description: partial 16S ribosomal RNA
Rfam family: Bacterial small subunit ribosomal RNA
Source: RNAcentral